Molecule: transfer RNA, 73 nt
Filed under: Cronartium ribicola 11-2
Lineage: Eukaryota; Fungi; Basidiomycota; Pucciniomycetes; Pucciniales; Coleosporiaceae
Description: tRNA-Val (GAC) (tRNA-Val-GAC-75-1)
Rfam family: tRNA
About the family: Transfer RNA (tRNA) molecules are approximately 80 nucleotides in length.
Source: RNAcentral
GACUGGAUAGCCUAAUGGUACAGGCAUCACAUUGACAAUGCUGCGGUCCCAGGUUCAAAUCCUGGUCUAGUCA